GCGGAGGGAUCAUUACCGAGUUAACGCUCAAAAAACCCACUGUGAACCUUACCUAUAUUUUGUUGCUUCGGCGGGCGGCCCCCUCGGGGGGGCCCCCGGGCCUCUCUCGAGGUGCCCGCCGACGGCAGCGCGGAUCGCUCUGUCUUGUACUUCCUAGCGUCGUCUGAAUUCGUGAUCUUUAGCGAGAAGAACACUAAAAACUUUCAACAACGGAUCUCUUGGCUGUGGCAUCGAUGAAGAACGCAGCGAAAUGCGAUAACUAAUGUGAAUUGCAGAAUUCAGUGAAUCAUCGAGUCUUUGAACGCACAUUGCGCCCGCCGGUAUUCCGGCGGGCAUGCCUGUCCGAGCGUCAUUACGACCCUCGUGCCCCCCAGGGGGCGCGGUGUUGGGUGUCCCGCGGCCCUCGCGUCGCGGGCUCCCUAAAUGUAUAGGCGGUCCCGCCUGGCGGCUCCUUGCGCAGUAGUACUCCUUCUCGCACGGGGCCCCGGGCGGCCGAUCAGCCCCUAAACCGAAGGAGAAGAACACGCCUCUAGGGGCGGCGACGCCUCUCCUUCACUUGACGUUGACCUCGGAUCAGGUAGGGAUACCCGCUGA
Molecule: ribosomal RNA, 594 nt
Filed under: Graphium sp. INBio3690B
Lineage: Eukaryota; Fungi; Ascomycota; Sordariomycetes; Microascales; Graphiaceae
Description: eukaryotic LSU rRNA
Rfam family: 5.8S ribosomal RNA (bases 199-352)
Source: RNAcentral